ACAGACUCAUCGCUCGUGACUCUGACACCACUGAGACCAACGCUCCCUCUCCCGGACUGACAGGCCAAUCGCAGGACACCCCUCACUCUCUCAGUCGCUCUCUCUCUCUCUCUCUCUCUCUCUCUGAUUCUCUCUCUCGCAUUCAUUCCUUUGCUCGCCAUCUCUCUCUCUGUCUUUAGCUAAGUCUCUCUACCACACCUCGUCCAGUGCAGAGGAACAGAAAGCCCCCUGCCCAGCCCAGGGAUAGCCAGACCGCUGAGAGGAUGAAACUCUGACAAGCAGACAGACCGCAGGGAAACGAGCACAACAGCCCACAGAUAAUUGGUUGAAGGGAGAGUCCAGGAAGGUCAGCCAAGAAAGCAGCCGUAGGUGCCAGCGUGAAAUCUACAGCAACUACAAUCACUUCAACAGUGAGCGGCUGGAACAAGGUGAAUGACAGACGCUGCUUCCCACAGAGUGAUGCUGAGACUGGCUUAGGCUUGCAGCACCACUGAAGACUUACACGGCACUAGGCAAUGACUAUUAGCCCCAAGACCAGCGAACAGUGAUCUACUGACCUCUGAGACAGGUUGUAUCUGACAGAGAGAGGACCACCUCCACGCUCCAGCCCCGCUCCAACCCACUGGUUUGUUAGUAUCAACAGUGAGUGAAUCACCCAGCUUUGGCCCGUCCGGCGUUACCUGUACAUGGAGACCCCCAGCUGGGCAGGAAACACGUUGUGUAAAUCAGGAAGUAUUGCUGUCUUCGGGAACGUGGUGUACAGCGGGCUGCUCAACGAGCACCUCUGGCAUUUAGGAGUUCCCCUCUUCACGA
Long non-coding RNA from Oncorhynchus nerka (sockeye salmon), 813 nucleotides. RefSeq lists it as uncharacterized. The record is from RefSeq and is a predicted model, not a curated record. NCBI's taxonomy places the organism in Eukaryota, Metazoa, Chordata, Actinopteri, Salmoniformes, Salmonidae. The transcript has 6 exons.